Molecule: ribosomal RNA, 497 nt
Filed under: uncultured bacterium
Lineage: Bacteria
Description: partial 16S ribosomal RNA
Rfam family: Bacterial small subunit ribosomal RNA
Source: RNAcentral
GAUGAACGCUGGCGGCGUGCCUAAUACAUGCAAGUCGAGCGAACAGACGAGGAGCUUGCUCCUCUGACGUUAGCGGCGGACGGGUGAGUAACACGUGGAUAACCUACCUAUAAUACUUGGAUAACUUCGGGAAACCGGAUCUAAUACCGGAUAAUAUAUUUAACCGCAUGGUUCAUUAGUUUAUUUCGUUUUUUCUGUCUCUUUUAGUUGUUUCCUCGCCGCAUUAGCUAGUUGGUAAGGUAACGGCUUACCAAGGCAACGAUGCUUAGCCGACCUGAGAGGGUGAUCGGCCACACUGGAACUGAGAAACGGUCCAGACUCCUACGGGAGGCAGCAGUAGGGAAUCUUCCGCAAUGGGCGAAAGCAUGACGGAGCAACGCCGCGUGAGUGAUGAAGGUCUUCGGAUCGUAAAACUCUGUUAUUAGGGAAGAAAAAAUGUGUAAGUAAAUAUGCACGUAUUGACGGUAACUAAUCAGAAAGCCACGGCUAACUACGUG